RNAcentral lists this transfer RNA (70 nucleotides) under Podarcis lilfordi (Lilford's wall lizard). Its description in RNAcentral is "tRNA.Val". Lineage: Eukaryota; Metazoa; Chordata; Lepidosauria; Squamata; Lacertidae. The record is from RNAcentral.
GGAUAGCUCAGUUGGUUAGAGUGCGGUGCUAACAAUGGCAAGGUUGUAGGUUCGAUCCCCAUAAGAGACA